UUAUAUAUAUAUAUAUCAUAACAUAGUGAGUACACAAUUAAUUAAGAUUAAUUGCAAUAUUACUAAUUUAUUAAUAUAAUUAUUUGUAAAAUAAAUAAUUAUAACAUAAUGACACAUCUAAUUAAUUAAAUAUCACUUCAUACAUGAAGCAAAUUAUUGAAUAAAUGAUAAAAUCUGUCAAUAGAAUACAUGUAUUGUAUAUAAAAAUAUAGGGAUGUUACAUUUCACAACUCAAGCAUCAGAAACACAACCAAAAUUGGCAGAGAGCUUAGUCUUAAUAAGGAAGAAAAAGAUGAACCCUUGUGGUCACACAUCAAAAGCUUAACCAAGAGGCCAUUUUGGUUAAAAGCGUUGAUGAUGAGAUGAAGAAAUAUAUACUAAAUCUUGGACUUUAUUCUAUAUCUGAUUUCAAAUAAAGUAUCAGGAUCAAUGCCCUGGAAACCUUUAGCAAUCAACUAGUAAUGGUAGAAAACUAUAUACAAUAUGAAGAUAAUAUGUUCAUAAGAAGAAGGUACCGAAAGCUUUGAGACAUGCAAUAGAUAAAAUAAAGAUCCAAGGAGCAACACAUAGCAAAGGAACAAAGGAGUGAGAAAUAAAUAUAACCAUCUCGACCAAAAAAGUAGAGGAAGUGGAUUACUCCCCUCAAGGUAUCAAGAUUAAACAUUCAAAAUACUUAUAGAGAACACAUUAUAUAAGAAUGCAUCAAUGCUAAGGGUGGAAAAAGGACGACCACUAAAAGUAGAUUGGAUGUACCAAAACCUUGGCUCAAGGAAACCGAAGAUAGAUAAGGGCGGGACCGACCACCAAUAAAGCCUUAAAGUAGAAAAAUCCAUGCCCACCCUACUUAAGCAUGUGCCCUCCAAAGCAUGUCAAAAA
Molecule: long non-coding RNA, 876 nt
Filed under: Lathyrus oleraceus (garden pea)
Lineage: Eukaryota; Viridiplantae; Streptophyta; Magnoliopsida; Fabales; Fabaceae
Description: Pisum sativum (pea) long non-coding RNA (PSAT_LNC034670)
Source: RNAcentral